Molecule: transfer RNA, 72 nt
Organism: Camelus ferus (Wild Bactrian camel)
Lineage: Eukaryota; Metazoa; Chordata; Mammalia; Artiodactyla; Camelidae
Rfam family: tRNA
About the family: Transfer RNA (tRNA) molecules are approximately 80 nucleotides in length.
Source: Rfam
GUGGGUAUAGCUCAGUGGUAGAGCGCAUGCUUAGCAUGCAUGAGGUCCUGGAUUUAAUCCCCAGUACCUCCA